This 971-nucleotide ribosomal RNA is filed under the name Salmonella enterica. RNAcentral's name for it is "partial 23S ribosomal RNA". It matches the Rfam family "Bacterial large subunit ribosomal RNA", at positions 1214 to 2167 of the family's 2925-position model. The record is from RNAcentral. Lineage: Bacteria; Pseudomonadati; Pseudomonadota; Gammaproteobacteria; Enterobacterales; Enterobacteriaceae.
CUAUGUGUUGUUGGGUAGGGGAGCGUUCUGUAAGCCUGUGAAGGUGUGUCGUGAGGCAUGCUGGAGGUAUCAGAAGUGCGAAUGCUGACAUAAGUAACGAUAAAGCGGGUGAAAAGCCCGCUCGCCGGAAGACCAAGGGUUCCUGUCCAACGUUAAUCGGGGCAGGGUGAGUCGACCCCUAAGGCGAGGCCGAAAGGCGUAGUCGAUGGGAAACGGGUUAAUAUUCCCGUACUUGGUGUUACUGCGAAGGGGGGACGGAGAAGGCUAUGUUGGCCGGGCGACGGUUGUCCCGGUUUAAGCGUGUAGGUGUGUGUUCCAGGUAAAUCCGGUUCACUUUAACACUGAGGCGUGACGACGAGGCACUACGGUGCUGAAGCAACAAAUGCCCUGCUUCCAGGAAAAGCCUCUAAGCAUCAGGUAACAUCAAAUCGUACCCCAAACCGACACAGGUGGUCAGGUAGAGAAUACCAAGGCGCUUGAGAGAACUCGGGUGAAGGAACUAGGCAAAAUGGUGCCGUAACUUCGGGAGAAGGCACGCUGACACGUAGGUGAAGUGAUUUACUCAUGGAGCUGAAGUCAGUCGAAGAUACCAGCUGGCUGCAACUGUUUAUUAAAAACACAGCACUGUGCAAACACGAAAGUGGACGUAUACGGUGUGACGCCUGCCCGGUGCCGGAAGGUUAAUUGAUGGGGUCAGCGCAAGCGAAGCUCCUGAUCGAAGCCCCGGUAAACGGCGGCCGUAACUAUAACGGUCCUAAGGUAGCGAAAUUCCUUGUCGGGUAAGUUCCGACCUGCACGAAUGGCGUAAUGAUGGCCAGGCUGUCUCCACCCGAGACUCAGUGAAAUUGAACUCGCUGUGAAGAUGCAGUGUACCCGCGGCAAGACGGAAAGACCCCGUGAACCUUUACUAUAGCUUGACACUGAACAUUGAGCCUUGAUGUGUAGGAUAGGUGGGAGGCUUUGAAGUGUGG